AAAACCGUACGUGGUCUCUAUGCAAUCUCCGCCUCCCUCAUCUCUCUCUUUAUUCCUCAAAGCCUUACAAGCCAAUUUCAAGCUAUUUGCUCCAUUUGUCUCUGUUCGCUAGCUGAACUUAGAGAGGAGGAAAGUUUGCUAUUGACGGAAAGGAUAAAUUUGAAAAAUGAACUGCCAGCUUUGUGUCUCACUCUUGAGAAACAAAGAGCUACAAAUGACAGUUUGAAGAGAAUUAAGCAACCCCAUGUGUAUGAAGCCAAGUUUAAUGUUGGAGCUUGAAGAAGUGCUUACAUGCAGGAUUACUGAAAAGAAACUUUUUUUUGACAACUAAGCAUUCUGCCCAGCAAUGGAUUGCUGUAAUCUGUUUCACGACUAAGCAUUUUGUUGUAAUGUAAAGCUUUAGAUAUCUUGCCAUAGUUUUUCAUUUCCGGCUCUUUAGUGCUUGUGUUGGUUUGUAUGCAUUUGUUUUGCUCUCUCAAAGUUCUGACACUGUUUGGAGAGUUCACAACAGAAUGAAAUGAAUUAGAGUGGAUAGGUUAUAAAUGAAUGGAAUGUGGAGGACUAUAUUAUUUUCUUUUGUUUGGUGUGUUUUGGAGUUGCAUAAGAGAAGGAAUGGAAAGAAGAGAUAUCAUACUUGCACCUCAGAUGGUUCAGUGAAGA
Quercus robur (English oak) is the source of this 660-nucleotide long non-coding RNA. RefSeq lists it as uncharacterized. The transcript has 4 exons. The record is from RefSeq and is a predicted model, not a curated record. NCBI's taxonomy places the organism in Eukaryota, Viridiplantae, Streptophyta, Magnoliopsida, Fagales, Fagaceae.